AGAGUUGAUCCUGGCUCAGAACGAACGCUGGCGGCGUGCCUAACACAUGCAAGUCGAGCGAGGAGAUUCCUUCGGGAUGAUCCUAGCGGCGGACGGGUGAGUAACACGUGGGCAACCUGCCUCAUAGAGAGGAAUAGCCUUCCGAAAGGAGAUUAAUACCUCAUAACAUUGCAGUUUCGCAUGGAACAGCAAUUAAAGGAGUAAUCCGCUAUGAGAUGGGCCCGCGGCGCAUUAGCUAGUUGGUGAGGUAACGGCUCACCAAGGCGACGAUGCGUAGCCGACCUGAGAGGGUGAUCGGCCACAUUGGGACUGAGACACGGCCCAGACUCCUACGGGAGGCAGCAGUGGGGAAUAUUGCACAAUGGGGGAAACCCUGAUGCCAGCAACGCCGCGUGAGUGAUGACGGCCUUCGGGUUGUAAAGCUCUGUCUUCAGGGACGAUAAUGACGGUACCUGAGGAGGAAGCCACGGCUAACUACGUGCCAGCCGCCGC
This 492-nucleotide ribosomal RNA is filed under the name uncultured bacterium. RNAcentral describes it as "bacterial SSU rRNA". It matches the Rfam family "Bacterial small subunit ribosomal RNA", at positions 8 to 518 of the family's 1533-position model. The record is from RNAcentral.